GGUAAAAUGGCUGAGUAAUAGCAUUAGACUGUAAAUCUGACUACAGGGGUUUUAAUCCUCUUUUUACCA
Molecule: transfer RNA, 69 nt
Filed under: Geomys knoxjonesi
Lineage: Eukaryota; Metazoa; Chordata; Mammalia; Rodentia; Geomyidae
Description: tRNA-Tyr
Rfam family: tRNA
About the family: Transfer RNA (tRNA) molecules are approximately 80 nucleotides in length.
Source: RNAcentral